This 409-nucleotide long non-coding RNA is filed under the name Homo sapiens (human). Its description in RNAcentral is "HSALNT0402287". The record is from RNAcentral. Lineage: Eukaryota; Metazoa; Chordata; Mammalia; Primates; Hominidae.
CUGCUGUAAUGUAAGAAACGCCUUUUGCCUCCUGCCAUAAUUCUGAGGCCUCACAGCCAUGUGGAACUGUAAGUCCAACUAAACCUCUUUUUCUUCCCAGUCUCGAGUAUGUCUUUAUCAGUAGUGUGAAAACGGACUAAUACAGGCACGCACUCUGUGUGUGGUAUGUGCAGGGUAUAUGUGUGGUGUGUGUGGCGUGCACUGUGUGGUGUGUGUGGGGCAUGUGUGUGGUGUGUGGCAUGCAUCGUGUGUGUGGUGUGUGUGGCGUGCAGUGUGUGUGUGGUGUGUGUGGCAUGCACUGUGUGUGUGGUGUGCAUAGUGUGUGCGGGGCGUGCAGUGUGUGUGCGGUGUGUGUGGCAUGCACUGUGUGUGUGGUGUGCAUAGUGUGUGCGGGGCGUGUGUGCGUGUG